ACGCUGGCGGCGCGCCUAACACAUGCAAGUCGAACGAGAGAUGAGGAGCUUGCUCUUCAGAUCGAGUGGCGAACGGGUGAGUAACGCGUGAGGAACCUGCCUCAAAGAGGGGGGACAACAGUUGGAAACGACUGCUAAUACCGCAUAAGCCCACGACCCGGCAUCGGGUAGAGGGAAAAGGAGCAAUCCGCUUUGAGAUGGCCUCGCGUCCGAUUAGCUAGUUGGUGAGGUAAUGGCCCACCAAGGCGACGAUCGGUAGCCGGACUGAGAGGUUGAACGGCCACAUUGGGACUGAGACACGGCCCAGACUCCUACGGGAGGCAGCAGUGGGGAAUAUUGCACAAUGGGGGAAACCCUGAUGCAGCGACGCCGCGUGGAGGAAGAAGGUCUUCGGAUUGUAAACUCCUGUUGUUGAGGAAGAUAAUGACGGUACUCAACAAGGAAGUGACGGCUAACUACGUG
This 462-nucleotide ribosomal RNA is filed under the name uncultured bacterium. RNAcentral describes it as "bacterial SSU rRNA". It matches the Rfam family "Bacterial small subunit ribosomal RNA", at positions 33 to 507 of the family's 1533-position model. The record is from RNAcentral.